Molecule: ribosomal RNA, 681 nt
Filed under: uncultured bacterium
Lineage: Bacteria
Description: bacterial SSU rRNA
Rfam family: Bacterial small subunit ribosomal RNA
Source: RNAcentral
AGAGUUUGAUCCUGGCUCAGGAUAAACGCUGGCGGCGUGCAUGAGACAUGCAAGUCGAACGAACGAGCUUGCUCGUUAGUGGCGGACGGCUGAGUAACGCGUAGGUGACCUGCCCCGAAGUGGGGGAUAACUGCCCGAAAGGGUGGCUAAUACCGCAUGUGGCGACACUUUCAUUGGUGUCAUCAAAGCCGCGAGGCGCUUCGGGAGGGGCCUGCGUCCGAUUAGCUCGUUGGUGGGGUAAUGGCUCACCAAGGCGACGAUCCGUAGCUGGUCUGAGAGGACGAUCAGCCACACUGGGACCGAGACACGGCCCAGACUCCUACGGGAGGCAGCAAUGGGGAAUCUUGCGCAAUGGGCGAAAGCCUGACGCAGCGACGCCGCGUGCGGGAAGAAGGCCUUCGGGUUGUAAACCGCUUUCAGGAGGGACGAAGCCACUCGGGUUAAUAGCCCAGAGGGUGACGGUACCUCCAGAAGAAGCCCCGGCUAACUACGUGCCAGCAGCCGCGGUAAUACGUAGGGGGCAAGCGUUGUCCGGAUUUAUUGGGCGUAAAGAGCGUGUAGGCGGCCAGACAGGUCCGUUGUGAAAACUCGAGGCUCAACCUCGAGACGUCGACGGAAACCGUCUGGCUAGAGUCCGAAAGAGGAGUGUGGAAUUCCUGGUGUAGCGGUGAAAUGCGUAGA